AUACGUAGGGGGCGAGCGUUGUCCGGAAUGAUUGGGCGUAAAGGGCGCGUAGGCGGCGCGGUAAGUCUGGAGUGAAAGUCCUGCUUUCAAGGUGGGAAUUGCUUUGGAUACUGCCGCGCUUGAGUGCAGGAGAGGUUAUCGGAAUUCCCGGUGUAGCGGUGAAAUGCGUAGAGAUCGGGAGGAACACCAGUGGCGAAGGCGGGUAACUGGACUGCAACUGACGCUGAGGCGCGAAAGUGUGGGGAGCAAACAGGAUUAGAUACCCUGGUAGUCCACACUGUAAACGAUGAAUGCUAGGUGUAAGAGGUAUCGACCCCUUUUGUGCCGGAGUCAACACAAUAAGCAUUCCGCCUGGGGAGUACGGCCGCAAGGUUGAAACUUAAAGGAAUUGGCGGAG
Molecule: ribosomal RNA, 397 nt
Filed under: uncultured bacterium
Lineage: Bacteria
Description: partial 16S ribosomal RNA
Rfam family: Bacterial small subunit ribosomal RNA
Source: RNAcentral